This 440-nucleotide ribosomal RNA is filed under the name uncultured bacterium. RNAcentral describes it as "partial 16S ribosomal RNA". It matches the Rfam family "Bacterial small subunit ribosomal RNA", at positions 338 to 795 of the family's 1533-position model. The record is from RNAcentral.
CCUACGGGCGGCAGCAGUGGGGGAUAUUGCACAAUGGGGGAAACCCUGAUGCAGCGACGCCGCGUGUGGGAAGACGGUCUUCUGGAUUGUAAACCACUGUCCCCAGGGACGAAAAUGACGGUACCUGGGGAGGAAGCUCCGGCUAACUACGUGCCAGCAGCCGCGGUAAUACGUGGGGCGCAAGCGUUGUCCGGAAUUACUGGGUGUAAAGGGAGCGUAGGCGGGGAUGCAAGUUGGGUGUCAAAACUACCGGCUCAACCGAUAGUCGCACUCAAAACUGCAACUCUUGAGUGAAGUAGAGGCAGGCGGAAUUCCUAGUGUAGCGGUGAAAUGCGUAGAUAUUAGGAGGAACACCAGUGGCGAAGGCGGCCUGCUGGGUUUUUACUGACGCUGAGGCGCGAAAGUGUGGGGAGCAAACAGGAUUAGAUACCCCAGUAGUC